Molecule: ribosomal RNA, 2190 nt
Filed under: Triticum aestivum (bread wheat)
Lineage: Eukaryota; Viridiplantae; Streptophyta; Magnoliopsida; Poales; Poaceae
Description: partial small subunit ribosomal RNA
Source: RNAcentral
CAGGGUUCAACAUGUACUCCUGAUUGUGAUGAUAACUUAAAACCAGACUUGGGUAUGACAUUUGACAGUAUGGAAGAUGUUGAGAUUUUUUACAAGGCUUAUGCACACAAUAUUGGAUUUUCAGUCAGAAUUGGGCAGAAAAAGACAAUAGAUGAUGUGGUGGUCUGGAGGCGAUUUCUUUGUUCAAAAGAAGGUUUCCGAACUAAGAAGGAGGAGGAACGCAAGAAGGAUUUGAAGGGAGGGAAGAUAAGAACACAUGCAAGAAAGAUUACUAGAUGUGGUUGUGAAGCCAUGAUAACUGUCAAGCGUAUGCAGGAUGGCAAAUACUCAAUAUCAGAUUUUCACGAAGAACACACCCAUCAAUUUAUCACACCCACCAAGCAACAUUUAAUCAAGUCUAAUAGAGAAGUCAGCGAGAAGGCCAAGACCACACUAUUCACAUGUCACGCAGCUAGUAUUGGCACAUCUGGAGCCUUUCGAUUGCUUCGUGUUGGUGAGGGUGGAUUUCAGUUUGUGGGGUGCACGAAGAGAGACUUGCAGAAUUAUCACCGUGACAUGAGAAGUACUUUCAAGGAUACAGAUGCUCAAAUGUUUAUUGACAACCUCAGAAAGAGGAAGCAAAUCAACCCAGGAUUCUUCUUUGAUUAUGUUCUUGAUGAUAAAAAUCAAUUGAAACGUGUGUUUUGGGCAGAUGCAUUUUGUAGAAAGAAUUAUGCUUUAUUUGGAGAAAUGGUGUCUUUUGACUCCACAUACAGCACAAAUCAGUACAAGAUGAUUUUUUGUCCAUUCACGGGAAUAAACCACCAUAUGGGAUCUGUUUUCUAUGGUGUUGUCUUGAUUGUUGAUGAGAAAGAAGAGUCGUACAAAUGGGUGUUUGAAACAUUUUUGAAAGCCAUGGAUGGGGCAGCACCGAGGCUUAUAGUAACCGAUGAAUAUGCUAGCAUGAAGGCUGCCAUUGAUAUAGUUAUGCCAAACACCGUCCAUAGGCUAUGCAUGUGGCACAUAAUGAGAAAGCUUCCGGAAAAGGUUGGUCCUUCACUGAAAGAGGAUGAGCAUUUUUACAACUCAUUUAAUGCAUGUGUAUGGGGUUCUGAAAGCCCAGCUGAAUUUGAGGCAAAGUGGUCUUCCAUGAUUUCUGAAUUUGGUCUUGAAGAAAACACAUGGUUUGCUAGGAGAUAUGAAAUUCGUGAAUCAUGGAUACCAGCCUACUUUAGAGGUGUAUUCUUGGGUGAAACUCUGAGAACCACUUCGAGGUCAGAGAGUGCUAACUCAUUCUUUAAUCACUUUAUUGGUUACAAGCAUGCUUUGGUGGAGUUUUGGAUUAGGAUUGGAACAGCCCUGGAAGAACAACGUCCGAAUGAACUCAAGGCUGAUCAUGAUUGCCUCAACUCCAUGUCUCCACUGAUUACAUCAUGGGAGAUCGAGAAGCAUGCAAGCCUAUACUUCACCCAUGAGGUUUUCAAAGCUUUUCAGAAGGAGGUGCGUGCGGCUAGAGAUCACUGCUUAAUUGAAAGCAUAUUGUAGGAGGGUGAUGUGAAAACCACGGUUGUAGGAGGUGAUCACUCUUACAAGUCCAGAGAAGUUAAGUUCAACACAACAUCCAUGAGUGCUCACUGCUCUUGCAUGUUAUUUGAGACACGUGGAAUUCCAUGCCGACAUAUCAUCGUGGUUUUGAGAGGUGCAAAAAUUAAUGAGCUACCAAGCCAUUUCAUUCUAGAUAGGUGGAAGAAAACAGUUAACAGGAGGUCACUAUACGAUAGUGGUGGCAACUUGCUUGAAUAGAACGAGAAGUUACUGCCAAUAAUCCUAGUAGACAAGAUGAAUUCGAGGCAUACAUUGGUUGUAGUAUGCCUAAUGAAGUUGAAAUUUAUCCACCAACUGAUGUGCAUACAAAGGGGAGGUGCAAAAGAAUUAAGGGACACUUAGACAAGGGUGGAGAAGGGAAACAAAAAAAGGAUGGAGAAGGGAAGCAAAAUAAAAAUGGAGAGCGGAAGAAAAAUGCCGGAGGACCGAAAAAGCCUCGCACGUGUGGGACUUGUAAGCAGAUUGGCUUCCAUGAUACUCGUAGUUGCCCCAACAAGAAUUAAGAACCGAAUAGGUAUUUUCCCCAACAAAUUGGCAACAUAUUUCAUAGUUCUUAUCUAUGUAUAUUCGCUUUCAAAAAGUGACUAUAUAUUCCAUUAUAACUGA